CCUACGGGUGGCAGCAGUGGGGAAUAUUGCGCAAUGGGCGAAAGCCUGACGCAGCGACGCCGCGUGAGGGAUGAAGGUCUUCGGAUCGGAAACCUCUGUCAGCAGGGAAGAACGGUCACUGUGCUAAUUAGCAGUGAAUUGACGGUACCUGCAAAGGACGCACCGGCUAACUCCGUGCCCGCAGCUGCGGUAAUACGGAGGGUGCGAGCGUUAAUCGGAUUUACUGGGAGUAAAGCGCUCGUAGGCGGUAGUUCAAGUCAAAGGUGAAAUCCCCGCGCUCAACGUCGGCACUGCCUUUGAAACUGGCAAACUGGAGUGUAUGAGAGGAUGGUGGAAUGCCAGGUGUAGGAGUGAAAUCCGUAGAUAUC
RNAcentral lists this ribosomal RNA (368 nucleotides) under uncultured bacterium. RNAcentral describes it as "partial 16S ribosomal RNA". It matches the Rfam family "Bacterial small subunit ribosomal RNA", at positions 338 to 698 of the family's 1533-position model. The record is from RNAcentral.